Molecule: ribosomal RNA, 375 nt
Filed under: uncultured bacterium
Lineage: Bacteria
Description: bacterial SSU rRNA
Rfam family: Bacterial small subunit ribosomal RNA
Source: RNAcentral
AUACGUAGGUGGCGAGCGUUGUCCGGAAUUACUGGGCGUAAAGGGUGCGUAGGCGGUAAGGCAAGUCAGAUGUGAAAAUCCAGGGCUCAACUCUGGGAGUGCAUUUGAAACUGGUUUACUAGAGUGCAGGAGAGGGAAGCGGAAUUCCUAGUGUAGCGGUGAAAUGCGUAGAUAUUAGGAAGAACACCAGUGGCGAAGGCGGCUUUCUGGACUGUAACUGACGCUGAAGCACGAAAGCGUGGGUAGCGAACAGGAUUAGAUACCCUGGUAGUCCACGCUGUAAACGAUGAGUGUUAGGUGUAGGGGACGAUAGUCUUCUGUGCCGGAGCAAACGCAAUAAACACUCCGCCUGGGGAGUACGGUCGCAAGACUAAA